Molecule: long non-coding RNA, 272 nt
Filed under: Dermacentor andersoni
Lineage: Eukaryota; Metazoa; Arthropoda; Arachnida; Ixodida; Ixodidae
Description: uncharacterized LOC126522253
Source: RNAcentral
AGCAGCCAGAAGUCGCCAUCUUAUCCAGCACGUUAUGGGUACACUCUGGCAGCUCCUACUCCUGCGUCCUACCACCACCCUGUCCUGACUACGUCCACUAGGAAGUUGGGAGCCUUUGGCGGCUUCUGCCACUGCAUCCUGCCGCCACCAUGUCCCAACUACAUCCACUAGGGAGUUGGCAGGCUUAGUGAUGAUGCCAGCAGGCUGACAGCCGACAGAAAGAUUCAGGUUGCCUCGAAAUUUUACCCAAGCCAUACCGCACACUUGGGCCA